RNAcentral lists this ribosomal RNA (444 nucleotides) under uncultured bacterium. RNAcentral's name for it is "partial 16S ribosomal RNA". It matches the Rfam family "Bacterial small subunit ribosomal RNA", at positions 354 to 796 of the family's 1533-position model. The record is from RNAcentral.
GUGAGGAAUAUUGGACAAUGGGCGCAAGCCUGAUCCAGCCAUGCCGCGUGCAGGAAGACGCAUCUAUGGUGUGUAAACUGCUUUUGUACGGGAAGAAACACUCCCUCGUGAGGGAGCUUGACGGUACCGUAAGAAUAAGGAUCGGCUAACUCCGUGCCAGCAGCCGCGGUAAUACGGAGGAUCCAAGCGUUAUCCGGAAUCAUUGGGUUUAAAGGGUCCGUAGGCGGUUUAAUAGUCAGUGGUGAAAGCCCAUCGCUCAACGAUGGAACGGCCAUUGAUACUGUUAGACUUGAAUUACAAGGAAGUAACUAGAAUAUGUAGUGUAGCGGUGAAAUGCUUAGAUAUUACAUGGAAUACCAAUUGCGAAGGCAGGUUACUACUUGUGGAUUGACGCUGAUGGACGAAAGCGUGGGGAGCGAACAGGAUUAGAAACCCCUGUAGUCC